Molecule: long non-coding RNA, 313 nt
Filed under: Brassica napus (rape)
Lineage: Eukaryota; Viridiplantae; Streptophyta; Magnoliopsida; Brassicales; Brassicaceae
Description: long non-coding RNA (BNAP_LNC018281)
Source: RNAcentral
UUAGGGUUUAGGGUUUAGAGUUUAGGGUUUAGGGUUUAGGGUUUAGAAUUUAGGGUUUAGGGUUUAGAGUUUAGGGUUUAGGGUUUAGAGUUUAGGGUUUAGGGUCUAGGGUUUAGGAUUUAGGGUUUAGAGUUUAGGGUUUAGGGUUUAGAGUUUAUGGUUUAGGGUUUAGAGUUUAGGGUUUAGGGUUUAGAAUUGAGAAAUGAGGUUUUGGGGAUAAGAUAUAAACUUAGAAAGGUGCUAUUUUGGUCAUUUUAGUUUUUGAAUGCUAUUUUUGUGAUAUAAACUUAGAAAUGUGCUAUUUUGGACAUUU